UCUCUCACAAGUCACAACUCACACAUCUCACAAAACCAUCAGACCUUCUCUCUCUGGCGACUCAAGAAAACCAUGCCAGAUCUCUCACCAGAUCCGUUUCAUGACCAGAUCUGUGAGGAUUCCACCGCAUGUUCCCCUCCGCCUUGUUACGCUGCUUCAAUCGCGGCUUCUCCUUCAUUCCAGGGAUUUGCUGAUGUAAGUAACCAUUGAAUCAAGAUCAAUCAGUGAUGAGUGUACCAUUUGAUAGAAGGGUCGAAACUGAAUCACCUUUCAUGGUUCAAGGUUCGAGAAGAUUGGAGAAGAAGACAAGGACGGAUGCUUGCGUUUUAUCAUAUCGGAGCUGCAAGAAAACUUUGUUUCCAAUGUACUACGCUCUCAAUUUGGUUUGGAAUUGAGCAAGAGUACACUUUGCUUCAACCAGAUGUGAAGUGGCCUUUUGGUUGGCCUGUUACUGUUAGAGUGUCAAUAUAGUCAAAGUAAGAACUUAUUCUUAUUCAAUAGCAUAUAUUGUUAUAAAAAAUGAUCUUGUAUUUUUCCUUUUGGCUGCUUUUAGCAGCAAUUGAAGUGUCAAUAUAGUCAAAGGGGCCAAAUUAUACCAGUCAAUCCUCCAAAUAUGCCGCUGGGUCGUAUUCCAAAGUCUUUUAUAUGUAGAGAUAUGAUAUAUUAUAUAACUGUCAUGCUACUAAUCCUGUACGGUAUAUAUUUUAAAGGACAUGCACAACUGUCUCCGGGACAUUUCGCCAGUUCUAUGAAAAGGCAUGGAUUUUGUGGCUUCUUUUUAUUAAUGUUAGGAUUUCAUCUCAGUUAGGUUUCAUGGCUAUCAAAUUUGUAUACAUUUUAGCAAAUUUGGAUAUUCGAUUUCAUUAAUAACAACUCAAAGUAAGAACACAUCUUCUGAAAUCCAUAUGGCUAAGUGUAGUGGUGAAAAUAGGUGGGUUGGUUAAUGGGAUGGGUCUGGUUGACUUACAAACCAUCUUUUAUCGUCCAAUUCGUCCGUAACGAGCAUCGUCUGUCACUAGCGUCGACUCUGUAACGAGUCGUAAAUGUAUAAUAUUUUUAUUUUAUCGUCCGAGUUGUCCGUAACGAGCGUAGUCAGUGACUAGCGUCGAGUCCGUAACGAGUCGUAAAUAUAUAAUAUCUUUAUUUUAUCGUCCGAUCCAUUCGUAACGAGCGUACGUCCAUAACUUGCAUCGAGUUCGUAACGAGUUGUAAAUAUAUAAUAUUUUUAUUUAUCGUCUGAGUCGUUCGUAACGAGCGUCGUCCGUAACUAGCGUCGAGUCCGUAACAGUUAUGAUCUAUUUUUUUGAACGCGUAACUGUAACUCUGUACUGUCUAUUUUACAUGAAAAUUAAUUUUUCUAACCUUAGAACAGUGAAUACAUUCUUUGUUGUAUUAUUCAGGUAAUUGUUAUUUAAGUUUUCUAUCUUUAGCGCAAAAAGAAACGGAGCAGCACGAGGCUGCUAAACAACAAGCUGAAUUCGUAACAAGCUCCAGCUAUCGGAAUAUGGUGUCAAAGAUGAACUAUUAUAUGUUUGCUGCAUUAAUAUUUUAUAAUGACCAAUAAGCCCAAACCUCAAACCAAACCGGAACCAAACAGUUAGUAACGGUUUGCUUUGGUUCGGUUUUAAUUUUCAACGGUUCGGUGCCGGUUUUGGUGAUAAAACUUAUGUUUGUUUUUUUUUUUUUUUUUUUUGCCAUGUUAGUUCAAUUGUUGGGUUCAGGGGCUCUGAUAUUGAAGCCUCACAUAAAUCAACAACGUCCUAAAGGAUGGUAAGUAAUUUCUUAAAAGUUAAAGCUGAUUUGGUUCUUAACUUUUUAUUUUUGUUCCAGCAAACAUUCUUAUAUUUGUAAAUUAGAGGAUGAAAACCCAAUUAAUGGAUAUGUACGAUAGAGCACGGGUCGGAGCGGUUGUAGGCGGAACAUAUCCAGCAAUCGGAGUGGAUACAACCUGGUUAAGAAACAGAGCUCGAAGAUUCCAUGAGGUUGUUGCUGCUGUGGGGUGUAAGAGGAGGAAAGUCUUAUUUGGAGUGACCGGGAAUGACGGGUGAGAACUGGGACAUGUGGAUAUGUGGUUCAGUUAUAUUUGACAACAUUUCAGCUAACAGAUCGGUCUCAUAUGAUCUUUGACAUGUGUCGGACAUAGAGAGAUUAACAGACCGAAUUCUCUUAGCUUCUGAUGGUGGUUUGCAGCAGCUCUCCCAAGAUGCAUUAGUUGGUAGCUUUGGGAAGGCUGGCACUCCUAAAUCUAUUUCGCCAACAAUUGGCGCUUCUCUUUUGCUUUAUUAGCCGAGUUCUCUUUGUUGUUUUGUAGAUUUGGUUUCCUAAAUGUCUGUAUAUGGAAUUAAUAGGUACAUGUUACACCUACCAAAAUGAAUUAGCUAUGGCUUCAUAUACUUGCUGAAUAGUCUUGGGGUGCAAUAUUUGAGUGAAAUAUGCCGGUGCUAUGUCCGAAAGGAAUUAAUAGGUACAUGUUACACCUACCAAAAUGAAUUAGCUA
This is an RNA transcript of Helianthus annuus (common sunflower), 2497 nucleotides long. RefSeq lists it as uncharacterized. The record is from RefSeq and is a predicted model, not a curated record. The transcript has 7 exons. Lineage: Eukaryota; Viridiplantae; Streptophyta; Magnoliopsida; Asterales; Asteraceae.